This 253-nucleotide ribosomal RNA is filed under the name uncultured bacterium. RNAcentral describes it as "partial 16S ribosomal RNA". It matches the Rfam family "Bacterial small subunit ribosomal RNA", at positions 524 to 776 of the family's 1533-position model. The record is from RNAcentral.
UACGAAGGGGGCUAGCGUUGCUCGGAAUCACUGGGCGUAAAGGGUGCGUAGGCGGGUCUUUAAGUCAGAGGUGAAAUCCUGGAGCUCAACUCCAGAACUGCCUUUGAUACUGAGGGUCUUGAGUACGGGAGAGGUGAGUGGAACUGCGAGUGUAGAGGUGAAAUUCGUAGAUAUUCGCAAGAACACCAGUGGCGAAGGCGGCUCACUGGCCCGUUACUGACGCUGAGGCACGAAAGCGUGGGGAGCAAACAGG